GGGUUGUGAGGUUAAGCGACUAAGCGUACACGGUGGAUGCCCUGGCAGUCAGAGGCGAUGAAGGACGUGCUAAUCUGCGAAAAGCGCCGGCGAGGUGAUAUGAACCCUUGACCCGGCGAUGUCCGAAUGGGGAAACCCAGUGUGAUUCGUCACACUAUCGUUAACUGAAUACAUAGGUUAACGAGGCGAACCGGGGGAACUGAAACAUCUAAGUACCCCGAGGAAAAGAAAUCAACCGAGAUUCCCCCAGUAGCGGCGAGCGAACGGGGAGCAGCCCAGAGUCUGAAUCAGCUUGUGUGUUAGUGGAAGCGUCUGGAAAGUCGCACGGUACAGGGUGAAAGUCCCGUACACGAAA
This 355-nucleotide ribosomal RNA is filed under the name Enterobacter cloacae. RNAcentral's name for it is "bacterial LSU rRNA". It matches the Rfam family "Bacterial large subunit ribosomal RNA", at positions 1 to 384 of the family's 2925-position model. The record is from RNAcentral. Lineage: Bacteria; Pseudomonadati; Pseudomonadota; Gammaproteobacteria; Enterobacterales; Enterobacteriaceae.